GCCUGGGUGGCUCAGUCGGUUGGGUGUCUGACUUUGGCUCAGGUUGUGAUCUCACAGUCGUGAGUUCAAGCCCCACGUUGGGCU
This is a non-coding RNA of Felis catus (domestic cat), 84 nucleotides long. NCBI's taxonomy places the organism in Eukaryota, Metazoa, Chordata, Mammalia, Carnivora, Felidae. The record is from Rfam.